AUAUUCGUAAAGAAGAUAACUCAUAUAAUAUUGACGAUAAGGGUCAAAAGUUUCUACCGAGAUGCCGUAAAUAUCUUGACUAUGAGUAAAUGCUAACAUAAU
Molecule: regulatory RNA element, 102 nt
Organism: Clostridium sp. 7_2_43FAA
Lineage: Bacteria; Bacillati; Bacillota; Clostridia; Eubacteriales; Clostridiaceae
Rfam family: Purine riboswitch aptamer
About the family: Riboswitches are metabolite binding domains within certain messenger RNAs that serve as precision sensors for their corresponding targets. Allosteric rearrangement of mRNA structure is mediated by ligand binding, and this results in modulation of gene expression.
Source: Rfam